Molecule: ribosomal RNA, 444 nt
Filed under: uncultured bacterium
Lineage: Bacteria
Description: SSU rRNA
Rfam family: Bacterial small subunit ribosomal RNA
Source: RNAcentral
AGAACGAACGCUGGCGGCAGGCUUAACACAUGCAAGUCGAACGCCCCCGCAAGGGGAGUGGCAGACGGGUGAGUAACACGUGGGAACAUGCCCAAAGGUACGGAACAACUCCGGGAAACUGGAGCUAAUACCGUAUGUGCCCGAAAGGGGAAAGAUUUAUCGCCUUUGGAUUGGCCCGCGUCGGAUUAGCUAGUUGGUGGGGUAAAAGCCUACCAAGGCGACGAUCCGUAGCUGGUCUGAGAGGACGACCAGCCACACUGGGACUGAGACACGGCCCAGACUCCUACGGGAGGCAGCAGUGGGGAAUAUUGGACAAUGGGCGCAAGCCUGAUCCAGCCAUGCCGCGUGAGUGACGAAGGUCUUCGGAUUGUAAAACUCUUUUGGCGGGGACGAUAAUGACGGUACCCGCAGAAUAAGCCCGGCUAACUUCGUGCCAGCAGCCGC